This 492-nucleotide ribosomal RNA is filed under the name uncultured bacterium. RNAcentral describes it as "bacterial SSU rRNA". It matches the Rfam family "Bacterial small subunit ribosomal RNA", at positions 28 to 507 of the family's 1533-position model. The record is from RNAcentral.
GAUGAACGCUAGCUACAGGCUUAACACAUGCAAGUCGAGGGGAAACGACAUCGAAAGCUUGCUUUUGAUGGGCGUCGACCGGCGCACGGGUGAGUAACGCGUAUCCAACCUGCCCACCACUUGGGGAUAACCUUGCGAAAGUAAGACUAAUACCCAAUGAUAUCCCACGAAGGCAUCCGAAUGGGAUUAAAGAUUUAUCGGUGAUGGAUGGGGAUGCGUCUGAUUAGCUUGUUGGCGGGGUAACGGCCCACCAAGGCAACGAUCAGUAGGGGUUCUGAGAGGAAGGUCCCCCACAUUGGAACUGAGACACGGUCCAAACUCCUACGGGAGGCAGCAGUGAGGAAUAUUGGUCAAUGGGCGAAAGCCUGAACCAGCCAAGUAGCGUGAGGGAAGACUGCCCUACGGGUUGUAAACCUCUUUUGUUUGGGAAUAAAGUGCGGGACGCGUCCCGCAUUGCAUGUACCAUUUGAAUAAGGACCGGCUAAUUCCGUG